RNAcentral lists this ribosomal RNA (470 nucleotides) under uncultured bacterium. RNAcentral's name for it is "bacterial SSU rRNA". It matches the Rfam family "Bacterial small subunit ribosomal RNA", at positions 8 to 504 of the family's 1533-position model. The record is from RNAcentral.
AGAGUUUGAUCCUGGCUCAGAACGAACGCUGGCGGCAUGGAUUAGGCAUGCAAGUUGAACGAACCACUUCGGUGGUGAGUAGCGGAAGGGUGAGGAACGCGUGAGUAAUCUGCCCUCCAGUUGGGAAUAACAGUUGGAAACGACUGCUAAUACCGAAUGUGGCUCAGGUCCUGCAUGGGACCCGGGCUAAAGAUUUAUCGCUGGAGGAUGAGCUCGCGUCCCAUUAGGUAGUUGGUGAGGUAACGGCUCACCAAGCCGACGAUGGGUAGCUGGUCUGAGAGGAUGGUCAGCCACACUGGGACUGAGACACUGCCCAGACUCCUACGGGAGGCUGCAGUCGAGAAUCUUGGGCAAUGCGCGAAAGCGUGACCCAGCAAUGCCGCGUGUAUGAUGAAGGCCCUCGGGUCGUAAAGUACUGUCUCCCGUGACGAAAUUUGACGGUAGCGGGGAAGGAAGCCACGGCUAACUAC